This 485-nucleotide ribosomal RNA is filed under the name uncultured bacterium. RNAcentral's name for it is "partial 16S ribosomal RNA". It matches the Rfam family "Bacterial small subunit ribosomal RNA", at positions 28 to 507 of the family's 1533-position model. The record is from RNAcentral.
AUUGAACGCUGGCGGCAUGCCUUACACAUGCGAGUCGAACGGCAGCGGGCCCUUCGGGGUGCCGGCGAGUGGCGAACGGGUGAGUAAUGCAUCGGAACGUACCCGGGAGAGGGGGAUAACCGGCCGAAAGGCUGGCUAAUACCGCAUGAACUCGGAAGAGCAAAGCGGGGGACCUUCGGGCCUCGCGCUCUCGGAGCGGCCGAUGUCCGAUUAGGCUAGUUGGUGGGGUAAAGGCCCACCAAGGCGACGAUCGGUAGCGGGUCUGAGAGGACGAUCCGCCACACUGGGACUGAGACACGGCCCAGACUCCUACGGGAGGCAGCAGUGGGGAAUCUUGGACAAUGGGCGCAAGCCUGAUCCAGCAAUGCCGCGUGGGUGAAGAAGGCCUUCGGGUUGUAAAGCCCUUUCGGCGGGGAAGAAAUCGGUCAGGCGAAUAGUCUGGCCGGAUGACGGUACCCGCAGAAGAAGCACCGGCUAACUACGUG